This 579-nucleotide long non-coding RNA is filed under the name Cicer arietinum (chickpea). RNAcentral describes it as "long non-coding RNA (CARI_LNC002467)". Lineage: Eukaryota; Viridiplantae; Streptophyta; Magnoliopsida; Fabales; Fabaceae. The record is from RNAcentral.
AAAAUGAAACAGAAAGGAAGGAAAAGAAAGAAAAGGAAAACUGAAAGAAAACACAAAACAUUUUCCUUCUUCUCGUGAUUCUUCUUCUUUUUCUUCUCCCCUGUUAGCGUAAAACCAAAUCCACCCAAACUCAAAAGUCCAUUUCUCUUCUAGAUCUAAGCUUCGUUUCGAGAAGUGAUAAAAGCGAAAGUUGUUCACCUCUACGCUACGGUGCUAGUGAACCAACUUUGGAAGCGACGACGCGAGCGGGAAUUUUACUGGAAUUAAUUACGGUACCAUAAUCGCUCGUUAAAACUAUCGUUAAGGCCAAGGCUCCUUCCAAACUUUUAGUUUGCAUUUAGGAACUUAUUUGUGGUUGUGGAAAAUAAAUUUGUUGGGUUUGAAGUGUAGAUUUGGGGAAAAUGAAUUUAAUGCUUUUAUGGGUGAAAGUUUGGAGUUGAGUUUUUGGUGAAAUUGAUGAGUGUUUUCGUGGAAAAGGAAUUUGAUUCAUCUAUGUGUGUUGUUGAGGAAAAUAAAUUUGAUGCGUUUGAGUUGUGGUUUGUGAAAAUUAGUUUGACAUGUGUUAUGUUUGAGUUUUGU